RNAcentral lists this ribosomal RNA (760 nucleotides) under uncultured Prevotella sp. Its description in RNAcentral is "bacterial SSU rRNA". It matches the Rfam family "Bacterial small subunit ribosomal RNA", at positions 28 to 776 of the family's 1533-position model. Lineage: Bacteria; Pseudomonadati; Bacteroidota; Bacteroidia; Bacteroidales; Prevotellaceae. The record is from RNAcentral.
GAUGAACGCUGGCUACAGGCUUAACACAUGCAAGUCGAGGGGAAACGACGGGGAAGCUUGCUUCCCCGGGCGUCGACCGGCGCACGGGUGAGUAACGCGUAUCCAACCUGCCUCUGACUGAGGGAUAACCCGUCGAAAGUCGGCCUAAUACCUCAUGGCAUCGUCUGCGGGCAUCCAACGACGAUUAAAGAUUUCAUCGGUCAGGGAUGGGGAUGCGUCUGACUAGUUAGUUGGCGGGGUAACGGCCCACCAAGGCGACGAUCAGUAGGGGUUCUGAGAGGAAGGUCCCCCACAUUGGAACUGAGACACGGUCCAAACUCCUACGGGAGGCAGCAGUGAGGAAUAUUGGUCAAUGGGCGAGAGCCUGAACCAGCCAAGUAGCGUGCAGGAAGACGGCCCUAUGGGUUGUAAACUGCUUUUAUGCGGGGAUAAAGUGAGGGACGUGUCCUUCAUUGCAGGUACCGCAUGAAUAAGGACCGGCUAAUUCCGUGCCAGCAGCCGCGGUAAUACGGAAGGUCCGGGCGUUAUCCGGAUUUAUUGGGUUUAAAGGGAGCGUAGGCCGUGGAUUAAGCGUGUUGUGAAAUGCAGGUGCUCAACGUCUGCACUGCAGCGCGAACUGGUUCACUUGAGUGUGCACAACGCAGGCGGAAUUCGUCGUGUAGCGGUGAAAUGCUUAGAUAUGACGAAGAACUCCGAUUGCGAAGGCAGCUUGCGGGAGCACAACUGACGCUGAAGCUCGAAAGUGCGGGUAUCGAACAGG